This 85-nucleotide transfer RNA is filed under the name Candidatus Woesebacteria bacterium. RNAcentral's name for it is "tRNA-Met". It matches the Rfam family "tRNA". Rfam says of the family: Transfer RNA (tRNA) molecules are approximately 80 nucleotides in length. Their secondary structure includes four short double-helical elements and three loops (D, anti-codon, and T loops). Further hydrogen bonds mediate the characteristic L-shaped molecular structure. tRNAs have two regions of fundamental functional importance: the anti-codon, which is responsible for specific mRNA codon recognition, and the 3' end, to which the tRNAs corresponding amino acid is attached (by aminoacyl-tRNA synthetases). tRNAs cope with the degeneracy of the genetic code in two manners: having more than one tRNA (with a specific anti-codon) for a particular amino acid; and 'wobble' base-pairing, i.e. permitting non-standard base-pairing at the 3rd anti-codon position. Lineage: Bacteria; Candidatus Woeseibacteriota. The record is from RNAcentral.
UACGAUGUGUCUGAAGUUGGUCAUCAGGCGGGCCUCAUAAGCCUGUGCGAAAGCCUCGGCGGUUCGAAUCCGCCCAUCGUUACCA